GUUUUGACAGAAACUGACAUCAUUUCCAUACGGACUGAGAGCAGGGCAGCUGCCAAGUUCCGUUUCAGACCUUCUGAUUUUGUAUUGUGACCUUCGUAAGACUCUCCUGCUGGGUGACAGCCACCUGCAAGAAGAAGUGAAAUAAUCCCAACCACCACUCUCUAUGUCCGAAGUGCUUUUGGAGUCACUGAAAAGAGUUGAUUAGCGGCAGCAAUGACAGUGCCAGACAAAUUUAACCUUCCCGGCAUCAAUGGGACAGAUGACACGAAAAUAGACCGAACUGCAUGCAACAUGGGGAAGUGGGGCAAGAUAAGGGAUUGGGCCGUCCUUGGCGCUUUCAGCUUUCUCCCGUGGGACACUUAGCGGUUUAAAAUAAUUCGCAGUGUCACCCUUCAUCCUCGGAUGGAUGUAUCAGCAUUUUUUUUCCCCCAUAAGUGGACGCACAGAUGAAGCCUUCUGCACAAUUAGCAAAACCGGUCACAUCGUGAACAUCGCAGCAAACAAUAAAAAAGCUCAAGAAUUUCCUCCCUUGCCCCGGCAUCCUCCCACCAGCCAGCCUCAAAAUACUGCUUGUAAGGCAUAACAUCCACUUCAAUCAUGUUAGCUGCUAAUCAUUAAUUGCUUCAGAAAAAGACAAUAUUUUACCCAUCCUCUUUGGAGUUCGAGUGUGAAUGGGGAAGCGAAAGAGAGGGAAAGUGAGUGAAACAUGAAAAGCUUGAUUUGUUAGGACCCCUGCUGUCUGAAAGGAGAUCAAAGCUCAGAGGGAGGCUGUAAAACAGCCGAACGCCCAGGACUGAAACAUGGCCCGUGGCAGCUGCUCCGGGCGCAGGCUCGCAACCCAGGUGUGCCCCGACUCCACUCUGCCAGCUGAAUCCUGAGAGCGGGCUACUGCGCUGUUCCUUCAUUAUUUCAGAGGCAGUCACGGAGGAGAUGCCGGCUCCAUCCAUCACAAUGCACAAAUUCGCAGCGCGCGGAUUCAGCACAGGCCUAAUUAAAGCUUUUCCUUUCAUUUGUGGAGAUAAUUAGACUUUCAUCUCACCAGGAAGCUUCAGAAAGAUCUAUUUCUUUCUUCAAU
Molecule: long non-coding RNA, 1075 nt
Organism: Bos taurus (domestic cattle)
Lineage: Eukaryota; Metazoa; Chordata; Mammalia; Artiodactyla; Bovidae
Source: Ensembl